Molecule: ribosomal RNA, 253 nt
Filed under: uncultured bacterium
Lineage: Bacteria
Description: partial 16S ribosomal RNA
Rfam family: Bacterial small subunit ribosomal RNA
Source: RNAcentral
UACGAAGGGUGCUAGCGUUGUUCGGAACCACUGGGCGUAAAGCGCGCGUAGGCGGCCGAUCAAGUCAGGGGUGAAAUCCUUGGGCUCAACCCAAGAAUUGCCUUUGAAACUGAUAGGCUAGAGUACUGGAGGGGAUAGCGGAAUUCCUAAUGUAGCGGUGAAAUGCGUAGAUAUUAGGAGGAACACCGGUGGCGAAGGCGGCUAUCUGGACAGUAACUGACGCUGAGGCGCGAAAGCGUGGGGAUCAAACAGG